CAGCCGCCACGGUAAUACGAAGGGUGCAAGCGUUAAUCGGAAUUACUGGGCGUAAAGCGCGCGUAGGUGGUUUGGUAAGAUGGAUGUGAAAUCCCCGGGCUCAACCUGGGAACUGCAUCCAUAACUGCCUGACUAGAGUACGGUAGAGGGUGGUGGAAUUUCCUGUGUAGCGGUGAAAUGCGUAGAUAUAGGAAGGAACACCAGUGGCGAAGGCGACCACCUGGACUGAUACUGACACUGAGGUGCGAAAGCGUGGGGAGCAAACAGGAUUAGAUACCCCGGUAGUCCCUGUCUCUUAUAC
Molecule: ribosomal RNA, 301 nt
Filed under: uncultured bacterium
Lineage: Bacteria
Description: partial 16S ribosomal RNA
Rfam family: Bacterial small subunit ribosomal RNA
Source: RNAcentral